RNAcentral lists this non-coding RNA (19 nucleotides) under Arabidopsis thaliana (thale cress). The record is from RNAcentral. Lineage: Eukaryota; Viridiplantae; Streptophyta; Magnoliopsida; Brassicales; Brassicaceae.
UUUAUCUCAGGCCUAUCUA